GAUGAACGCUGGCGGCGUGCUUAACACAUGCAAGUCGAACGGAAAGGCUCCUGCUUGCAGGGGUACUCGAGUGGCGAACGGGUGAGUAACACGUGGGUGAUCUGCCCUGCACUUCGGGAUAAGCCUGGGAAACUGGGUCUAAUACCGGAUAGGACGAUGGUUUGGAUGCCAUUGUGGAAAGUUUUUUCGGUGUGGGAUGAGCUCGCGGCCUAUCAGCUUGUUGGUGGGGUAAUGGCCUACCAAGGCGUCGACGGGUAGCCGGCCUGAGAGGGUGUACGGCCACAUUGGGACUGAGAGACGGCCCAGACCCGUCGGGGGGGAAGAGGGGGGAAUUGUGGAAAAGGGGGAGCAGGCUGGAGGCGGCGGCGCCGGGGGGGGAAGGGCGGCUUGCGGUUGUAAACCCCCUUCCGCGGGGGACGAAGCGAAGGGGAGGGUACGUGAAGAAGAAGCCCGGGCAAACUCCGGC
RNAcentral lists this ribosomal RNA (466 nucleotides) under uncultured bacterium. Its description in RNAcentral is "partial 16S ribosomal RNA". It matches the Rfam family "Bacterial small subunit ribosomal RNA", at positions 28 to 508 of the family's 1533-position model. The record is from RNAcentral.